This 90-nucleotide transfer RNA is filed under the name Candidatus Vallotiella hemipterorum. RNAcentral's name for it is "Candidatus Vallotia tarda tRNA-Ser". It matches the Rfam family "tRNA". Rfam says of the family: Transfer RNA (tRNA) molecules are approximately 80 nucleotides in length. The record is from RNAcentral. Lineage: Bacteria; Pseudomonadati; Pseudomonadota; Betaproteobacteria; Burkholderiales; Burkholderiaceae.
GGAGAGGUGGAUGAGUGGUUUAAGUCGCACGCCUGGAAAGCGUGUAUAGGUUCAUACCUAUCAAGGGUUCGAAUCCCUUCCUCUCCACCA